GCCGGAGUGACCUUCGAUGGCUCGGAGCGCAGGCUUCAAACCUGUGGGGGCUUGACGGCCCAGUUGUUCGAUUCAACCUCACCGGC
RNAcentral lists this transfer RNA (86 nucleotides) under Bathycoccus prasinos. Its description in RNAcentral is "Selenocysteine transfer RNA". It matches the Rfam family "Selenocysteine transfer RNA". The record is from Rfam by way of RNAcentral. Lineage: Eukaryota; Viridiplantae; Chlorophyta; Mamiellophyceae; Mamiellales; Bathycoccaceae.